GAUGAACGCUGGCGGCGUGCCUAACACAUGCAAGUCGAACGGAGAUUACGGACGGAAGUUUUCGGAUGGAAGCCUGUAAUUCUUAGUGGCGGACGGGUGAGUAACGCGUGGGCAACCUGCCCUAUACAGGGGGAUAGCAGCUGGAAACGGCUGGUAAGACCGCAUAAGUCGGUUAAAUCGCAUGAUUUGAUCGGGAAAUGAGCAAUCAGGUAUAGGAUGGGCCCGCGUCCGAUUAGCCAGUUGGCAGGGUAAAAGCCUACCAAAGCGACGAUCGGUAGCCGGACCGAGAGGUCGGACGGCCACAUUGGGACUGAGACACGGCCCAAACUCCUACGGGAGGCAGCAGUGGGGGAUAUUGCACAAUGGAGGAAACCCUGAUGCAGCGACGCCGCGUGAGUGAAGAAGUAUUUCGGUAUGUAAAGCUCUAUCAGCAGGGAAGAUGAUGACGGUACCUGACUAAGAAGCCCCGGCUAACUACGUG
RNAcentral lists this ribosomal RNA (481 nucleotides) under uncultured bacterium. RNAcentral describes it as "partial 16S ribosomal RNA". It matches the Rfam family "Bacterial small subunit ribosomal RNA", at positions 28 to 507 of the family's 1533-position model. The record is from RNAcentral.